Molecule: non-coding RNA, 73 nt
Organism: Canis lupus familiaris (dog)
Lineage: Eukaryota; Metazoa; Chordata; Mammalia; Carnivora; Canidae
Source: Rfam
GCCCGGCUGGCUCAGUUGGUAGAGCAUGUGACUUUGGAUCUCAGGGGCAUGAGUUCAAGCCUCACAUUGAGCA